UAGGGGAACCCAGAGCUGUGAUGCACACGGUGCACACGGUGCACGGGCAGUGAUACAUGGUGUGUGGACACGUGUCACGUUUUGGAACUAGAGAGGUUUCCUGUGAACAGCUUGGGUCAGGUGUAUUAUUGUGAGCUGGGGUGAUGAUGGGUUACCAGCAGCUUGUUGCGUCACCGUGGGGACUGAUACCGAUGGCCUCGUUGAUAGUGGAAGAGUGACGGUCGGAUUUAUUGAGUUGGGGUGAUAAUGGUUACCAGCAGCUUUUGGUGUCACCGUUGACCGACACUAUAGAUGGCCUUAUUUAUGGAACAGAGUGACGGCGAGUCGAGGGUUGCAAGAACAAAGCAACACUGUCGAUGAACUUGACCUGGACUUGGUUACACGUAUUUGAAAGGGUUCUCAAUUCCAGAGACUGAUAAUUUAUUGGUGCUUGGUGUUAUUAUAUAUGAACAGUAUUACCUUAUUACCAGUGAAUUGUUUAUAAACCACCACUAAAUAUUAAGAUUAAUAAUUAUUUAUUGAUUCUUGGUGAAAUACAAAUGUAAAAUUA
RNAcentral lists this long non-coding RNA (550 nucleotides) under Gigantopelta aegis. RNAcentral describes it as "uncharacterized LOC121389490". The record is from RNAcentral. Lineage: Eukaryota; Metazoa; Mollusca; Gastropoda; Neomphalida; Peltospiridae.